This 77-nucleotide transfer RNA is filed under the name Gammaproteobacteria bacterium. Its description in RNAcentral is "tRNA-Pro". It matches the Rfam family "tRNA". Rfam says of the family: Transfer RNA (tRNA) molecules are approximately 80 nucleotides in length. Their secondary structure includes four short double-helical elements and three loops (D, anti-codon, and T loops). Lineage: Bacteria; Pseudomonadati; Pseudomonadota; Gammaproteobacteria. The record is from RNAcentral.
CGGGGCGUAGCGCAGCCUGGUAGCGCAUCUGCCAGGGUGGCAGGUGGUCGCAGGUUCAAAUCCUGCCGUCCCGACCA